Molecule: long non-coding RNA, 1795 nt
Filed under: Podarcis lilfordi (Lilford's wall lizard)
Lineage: Eukaryota; Metazoa; Chordata; Lepidosauria; Squamata; Lacertidae
Source: RNAcentral
AUAAUAAUAAUAAUAUCAUCACUGACUCAUUGGAGGUGGAGUUUACUUUCAGGAGAAUGCAAAACCCAUUUCUUUGUCUCUAAUGGAGGUCAGCCUCACCGUGAAACAGGCGAAGCCCCCAGGGAGAGGGCUGCUGACAUUUCCUCACAUUUCCAGAGCUUCAGUCAGCAGGAGAAUUUAUUAAGGUAAUGGGGUUGCUUUUAUAUAAGUAAUUAUAUAAAAUUCUAUGCUAAUAAUAUGUAACAUUACUCAUUGUAAUCUUGAUUAUUUUAAUUAUAUGGUGGCACCAUUGUGUGCAGCGUUUUACAGCCUGACGCGCUCUUGAACCAAGCUCAUCCAGGGCCAGCUGAAGCAGCCCUGCACGCUCUGACAGAGGUUGUCUUUACUGUGACUCUCCCAGGGAGCAAGUCCUCACACUCAAGGUGGCUUCUAGCGUACCUCUGAAGUAUCUUUCCCCCUUUUCCAAGAAUAUAAGCAGAGCCCUACUGGAUCAAGCCAAUGGCCCAUCUAGUCCAGCAUCCUCUUCUCACAGAUGCUCUAAAGUGCCAACUAAUAGUUCAGUAGGUAGAACCCCACAAGCAGGACCUCAGCACAAGAGCCCUCUCCCUUCCCACAGCUUCCAGCAACUGGAAUCCAGAAGCAUUUCUGCCUCCUCUGUGGAGGCGAUCUGUAGCCAUCAUGGCUUGUAGAAGAAGAAGAAGAGUUUGGAUUUGAUAUCCCGCUUUAUCACUACCCGAAGGAGCCUCAAAGCGGCUAACAUUCUCCUUUCCCUUCCUCCCCCACAACAAACGCUCUGUGAGGUGAGUAGGGCUGAGAGACUUCAGAGAAGUUUGACUAGCCCAAGGUCACCCAGCAGCUGCAUGUGGAGGAGCGGGGAAGCGAACCCGGUUCACCAGAUUACGAGUCUACUGCUCUUAACCACUACACCACACUAGCUCUCUCUUGUACCCGUGGAUAGCCUUCCCCUCCACAAAUUUGUUCAAUCUUCCUUUGAAGCAAUCCAGAUUGGUUGCACCAUAUUUUGUUGUUUGAUACUGAUUAAUCAAUCAAUCAAUCAAUCAAGCUCUCCCCUCCCUCCUCUUUUUUCAGGUAUCCUGUUGGAGCUUAUCAGGAUAAGCGUAGAAGAGACAGCAAAGCUAGUCUGCCCAGAAUUAGAUGUUUUGCCUCAAUACAAAUCAAACCCAGUGUGUCACAUUUUGAACCUGGCAUAAAUACAUCUAAAUGUACGAGGGUGGCUAUGGCAAAUGUGUCUGCGGAUGUCAUCAUUCACCAGGGCCAACCUUACCCUUGUUCUUACAGUAGCCAGCCAAAUGAUUGUGGGAAAUCACCAAGCAGGACUUUUGCAAGAGCACUCUCCUCUUCCUGUGGUUUUCAGUAACAGAAGCAUUUGAUGCCUCCCACAAUGGAGCCAAAACAUAGCCAUUAUUGUGUCUAGGAGCUAAUUGAUAGCCUUACCCUCCAAGGCCAUUGGCCAUGCUGGUUAGCGAUGAUGGGAGUUGGAGUCCAGUAAUAUCUGGCUGGCCUCAGGUUCCCCACCUCUGGUCUACAUUGAUGGGCAGCAGCUCUCAGGGUUUCAGGCAGGAAUCUUUACCAGCCCUACCUGGAGAUGCCAUUAGGAAUUGAACAUGGGAUCUUCCGUUUGCGAGGCAGAUACUUAACCAAUCAGUUGGCGUCCUUCUGUUCAAAUCUAAACCACACUCAGCAGCUAUUCCCACGGAAAAGCAUUACUUCUAAGCAAAGGAUUCUGCUGCUUCCGUUUUCAGCCCACUUCCAUAAAAUAAAAUAAAAAGACCCC